This 252-nucleotide ribosomal RNA is filed under the name uncultured bacterium. Its description in RNAcentral is "partial 16S ribosomal RNA". It matches the Rfam family "Bacterial small subunit ribosomal RNA", at positions 524 to 776 of the family's 1533-position model. The record is from RNAcentral.
UACGUAGGUCCCGAGCGUUGUCCGGAUUUAUUGGGCGUAAAGCGAGCGCAGGUGGUUUAAUAAGUCUGGUGUAAAAGGCAGUGGCUCAACCAUUGUAUGCAUUGGAACCUGGUAGACUUGAGUGCAGGAGAGGAGAGUGGAAUUCCAUGUGUAGCGGUGAAAUGCGUAGAUAUAUGGAGGAACACCGGUGGCGAAAGCGGCUCUCUGGCCUGUAACUGACACUGAGGCUCGAAAGCGUGGGGAGCAAACAGG